CCGUAGAGGAAGUCAUUGCGGUUCCGUGUCCAGUCCUCCGUGAGGGUGGAGCUACUGCCAAACGUCUUCUGCUAGUGGUCCUCUAGGUCUACAAUAAACGACAACCCCAUCAACCAUACCUUGGAGUGGUCUUGCUUGCCCUUAGUUUGUACAACACUCCACUGAAAUUUGUGAAGAUCUCUUGGGCCACAGUAAGAAAAGAUGGAUGGUGUUGCUAAGCAGAGGGAUUAAGAUUGUUAUGCUAAACCACCAGAAGAAGCAUUCAACACAUGCCACCAGAAGAAGCAUUCAACACAUGCACCAGCGAAAGGGAAGACAGCUCUCUGACCCAUGUACCACUUUCAGAAUGUGUUCAGACUCCAAUGCUGCCAAAAGUCCCAGAGGUAAAAAAGAGGUCAAGAGUAACAGCCUGAGGACAGCAAUUGCAGAAAUCCUCCCAAGGCUCCAGGACAACGUGGAAGUGAUGAAUCCAGCCAUACAGACAGUAGAUGAAAAGCUUACCUUGGGUCUAAUCAUAGCUAGGCUACCAACUCACUUCCAAAGGGUAUGUCUCUCUUUCCUCACCUGUCAAAACAGGAAAUUGGAUGCUCUGUAGAAGAAAAACCAAGUCUCCAUUUGAAAAGCAUUUUUGGUAUCAUUUCACACUCAUUUAUUUGAUGCAGAUGGAAACUGAGUGCCAGAGAUGGACACUUGUCCACUGUCAUGUCUACAACCUGAUAUAACCCAGCCACCCCGUAUUCAAGCUCCUGUUUUUCUUCUAAAUGCUUUCCAAGGUUCUUCCAAGUCCAAGAGCUUUUUACUCUUAAGAUGGCCUCCCCGCAGCUGCAGCUAUGGACUCAUUCUUUGAUUGGUCACUAGAGGCUUCCUUUGGUACUCUUGAUGGCAUACUGUAUAUAACUUCUUGCUUAACCUCACAUAAACCUGGACAAGUAAUGUGUGCUGCCAGACUCAUGGAGGACAUGCUGUAUUAUGUGUGUGGCCAUCCAGAGUCAAGUCAGGCAAUAUGUUUAGACAGGCUAUUGGGCAAGGACGGGAUCUGCUUGGCAAGUUGACACUAUAACCUUGAAGAAACCCCAUUCUCUACUGAACUUCAAUUUCCUUAUAUUUAAAACAAGUUUGUUGAACUAGCUGAUCCCUAAGGCGCUGUUCAGCUGUGGUGUUCUGUCGCAGUGUUUCCUAAUCUUUCUCUUCCUGGGGGAAUUUUAGUCAGAACCUAGUGGGACGUUCUUUACCACAG
Long non-coding RNA from Mus musculus (house mouse), 1237 nucleotides. RefSeq annotates it as predicted gene, 53941. Lineage: Eukaryota; Metazoa; Chordata; Mammalia; Rodentia; Muridae. The record is from RefSeq and is a predicted model, not a curated record. The transcript has 3 exons.